UGAUGACUGUUUCCUUUGCUGUGCAGAAACUUUUUACCUUGAUGAAGUCCCACAAGUUCAUUUUUUCUUUUGUUUCUCUUGCCUUUGGAGAUGUGUCAUGAAAGAAGAUGCUGUGACCAAUGUCGAAGAAGUUGCGCCUAUGUUCUCCUCUAUGAUUUGGAUGGAUUCCUGUUUCACAUCGAGGUCUUUCAUCCAUUUGGAGUUUAUCUUUGUGUAUGGUGUUACUUCUUGAAGAUGAGAUGAUAUCCUUCAAAUGUGAGCCCUCUAUCUCAAUGCUACAAUAGAGUUCAGUUUUAAUGGACAAAAUCACAGAAUCGGAAAUUUUAUUUAUACAAAUAUCUUUUGACAGCUUUGCCCACUUUUAAAAUUCUGAGGGAAGUUAAGUUCUUCCAUGGACCGCCUAAGAGCAGCGCUGUAAGAAGCAACCACCUCUUCUCUUCCUCUCUGCCAUCUGCUCAGCAGCCACAAGGCAGCAACCAUGUGCAAAUUCAUUUCCAUCCAGGCUGGUGUUCAGAUUGGCAAUGCCUGCUGGGAGCUCUACUGCCUGGAACAGGGCAUCCAGCCCAAUGGUCAGAUGCCAAUUAACAAGACUACUGGGGGAGGAGAUAAC
This is a long non-coding RNA of Ailuropoda melanoleuca (giant panda), 610 nucleotides long. RefSeq lists it as uncharacterized. The transcript has 3 exons. The record is from RefSeq and is a predicted model, not a curated record. NCBI's taxonomy places the organism in Eukaryota, Metazoa, Chordata, Mammalia, Carnivora, Ursidae.